Small nucleolar RNA from Prosopis cineraria, 107 nucleotides. The record is from RefSeq and is a predicted model, not a curated record. NCBI's taxonomy places the organism in Eukaryota, Viridiplantae, Streptophyta, Magnoliopsida, Fabales, Fabaceae.
AAUUAGUGAUGGGGACAUUGACUUAUGAGGAGAUUAUAACAUUCCCAGGCUUUAUGGAAUAAUUCACCAUUUUGAUAUGUAAAGAAGUGGAUUUUGUCCCUUAAUUU